This 550-nucleotide ribosomal RNA is filed under the name uncultured bacterium. RNAcentral's name for it is "bacterial SSU rRNA". It matches the Rfam family "Archaeal small subunit ribosomal RNA", at positions 728 to 1276 of the family's 1478-position model. The record is from RNAcentral.
AAUAGAUACCCCGGGUAGUCCUAGCCGUAAACGAUACUCGCUAGGUGUCGGCCACGGUGCGACCGUUGUCGGUGCCGUAGGGAAGCCGUGAAGCGAGCCACCUGGGAAGUACGGCCGCAAGGCUGAAACUUAAAGGAAUUGGCGGGGGAGCACCACAACGGGUGGAGCUUGCGGUUUAAUUGGAUUCAACGCCGGAAAUCUUACCGGGACCGACAGCAAUAUGAAGGCCAGGCUGAAGACUUUGCCGGAUUAGCUGAGAGGUGGUGCAUGGCCGUCGUCAGUUCGUACUGUGAAGCAUCCUGUUAAGUCAGGCAACGAGCGAGACCCACGCCCACAGUUGCCAGCGUACUCUCUGGAGUGACGGGUACACUGUGGGGACCGCCGCUGCUAAAGCGGAGGAAGGAAUGGGCAACGGCAGGUCAGUAUGCCCCGAAUAUCCCGGGCUACACGCGAGCUACAAUGGUUGGUACAAUGGGUAUCUACCCCGGAAAGGGGACGGGAAUCUCCUAAAACCAAUCUUAGUUCGGAUUGAGGGCUGCAACUCGCCUCA